Molecule: ribosomal RNA, 565 nt
Filed under: Clostridium perfringens
Lineage: Bacteria; Bacillati; Bacillota; Clostridia; Eubacteriales; Clostridiaceae
Description: bacterial SSU rRNA
Rfam family: Bacterial small subunit ribosomal RNA
Source: RNAcentral
UUUAAAUUGAGAGUUUGAUCCUGGCUCAGGAUGAACGCUGGCGGCGUGCUUAACACAUGCAAGUCGAGCGAUGAAGUUUCCUUCGGGAAACGGAUUAGCGGCGGACGGGUGAGUAACACGUGGGUAACCUGCCUCAUAGAGUGGAAUAGCCUUCCGAAAGGAAGAUUAAUACCGCAUAAUGUUGAAAGAUGGCAUCAUCAUUCAACCAAAGGAGCAAUCCGCUAUGAGAUGGACCCGCGGCGCAUUAGCUAGUUGGUGGGGUAACAGCCUACCAAGGCGACGAUGCGUAGCCGACCUGAGAGGGUGAUCGGCCACAUUGGGACUGAGACACGGCCCAGACUCCUACGGGAGGCAGCAGUGGGGAAUAUUGCACAAUGGGGGAAACCCUGAUGCAGCAACGCCGCGUGAGUGAUGAAGGUUUUCGGAUCGUAAAGCUCUGUCUUUGGGGAAGAUAAUGACGGUACCCAAGGAGGAAGCCACGGCUAACUACGUGCCAGCAGCCGCGGUAAUACGUAGGUGGCGAGCGUUAUCCGGAUUUACUGGGCGUAAAGGGAGCGUAGGCGGA